RNAcentral lists this ribosomal RNA (510 nucleotides) under uncultured Prevotella sp. RNAcentral's name for it is "bacterial SSU rRNA". It matches the Rfam family "Bacterial small subunit ribosomal RNA", at positions 28 to 525 of the family's 1533-position model. Lineage: Bacteria; Pseudomonadati; Bacteroidota; Bacteroidia; Bacteroidales; Prevotellaceae. The record is from RNAcentral.
GAUGAACGCUAGCUAUAGGCUUAACACAUGCAAGUCGAGGGGCAGCAUAUAGAUUGCUUGCAAUUUAUGAUGGCGACCGGCGCACGGGUGAGUAACGCGUAUCCAACCUACCCAUUACGUAGGAUAACCCAGCGAAGUUGGCCUAAUGCCCUAUGUAGUCGUUUGAUCGCCUGAGAUUUCGACGAAAGAUUUAUCGGGUAUUGGAUGGGGGAUGCGUCUGAUUAGCUUGUUGGCGGGGUAAAGGCCCCACCAAGGCAACGAUCAGUAGGGGUUCUGAGAGGAAGGUCCCCCACAUUGGAACUGAGACACGGUCCAAACUCCUACGGGAGGCAGCAGUGAGGAAUAUUGGUCAAUGGGCGAGAGCCUGAACCAGCCAAGUAGCGUGCAGGAUGACGGCCCUAUGGGUUGUAAACUGCUUUUAUAUGGGAAUAAAGUGAGGGGACGUGUCCCUUAUUGCAUGUACCAUACGAAUAAGGACCGGCUAAUUCCGUGCCAGCAGCCGCGGUAAAU